Molecule: ribosomal RNA, 253 nt
Filed under: uncultured prokaryote
Description: partial 16S ribosomal RNA
Rfam family: Bacterial small subunit ribosomal RNA
Source: RNAcentral
UACAGAGGUCCCAAGCGUUGUUCGGAUUCACUGGGCGUAAAGGGUGCGCAGGUGGGUUUGCAAGUUUGAUGUGAAAGCCCCGGGCUUAACCCGGGAAUGGCAUUGAAUACUGCAGAUCUGGAGGAUUGGAGGGGGGACUGGAAUUCUUGGUGUAGCAGUGAAAUGCGUAGAUAUCUGGAGGAACACCGGUGGCGAAGGCGGCAUCCUGGACCGGCAUUGACGCUGAGGCGCGAAAGCCAGGGGAGCAAACGGG